RNAcentral lists this ribosomal RNA (490 nucleotides) under uncultured bacterium. RNAcentral's name for it is "partial 16S ribosomal RNA". It matches the Rfam family "Bacterial small subunit ribosomal RNA", at positions 30 to 507 of the family's 1533-position model. The record is from RNAcentral.
AUUGAACGCUGGCGGCAGGCCUAACACAUGCAAGUCGAAUGGUAACAGGAAACAGCUUGCUGUUUCGCUGACGAGUGGCGGACGGGUGAGUAAUGUCUGGGAAACUGCCUGAUGGAGGGGGAUAACUACUGGAAACGGUAGCUAAUACCGCAUAACGUCGCAAGACCAAAGAGGGGGACCUUCGGGCCUCUUGCCAUCAGAUGUGCCCAGAUGGGAUUAGCUAGUAGGUGGGGUAACGGCUCACCUAGGCGACGAUCCCUAGCUGGUCUGAGAGGAUGACCAGCCACACUGGAACUGAGACACGGUCCAGACUCCUACGGGAGGCAGCAGUGGGGAAUAUUGCACAAUGGGCGCAAGACUGAUGCAGCCAUGCCGCGUGUAUGAAGAAGGCCUUCGGGUUGUAAAGUACUUUCAGCGGGGAGGAAGGGAGUAAAGUUAAUACCUUUGCUCAUUGACGUUACCCGCAGAAGAAGCACCGGCUAACUCCGUG